UGCCAGCAGCCGCGGUAAUACGAACUGUGCAAACGUUAUUCGGAAUCACUGGGCUUAAAGGGUGCGUAGGCGGACUUGAAGGUCUGAUGUGAAAGCCCACGGCUCAACCGUGGAAUUGCGUUAGAAACCAUGAGUCUUGAGGAGAUCAGAGGUGAGCGGAACUGAUGGUGGAGCGGUGAAAUGCGUUGAUAUCAUCAGGAACACCGGUGGCGAAAGCGGCUCGCUGGGAUCUUUCUGACGCUGAGGCACGAAAGCUAGGGGAACGAACGGGAUUAGAUA
Molecule: ribosomal RNA, 279 nt
Filed under: uncultured bacterium
Lineage: Bacteria
Description: partial 16S ribosomal RNA
Rfam family: Bacterial small subunit ribosomal RNA
Source: RNAcentral